RNAcentral lists this ribosomal RNA (488 nucleotides) under Hyperhalosydna striata. RNAcentral describes it as "partial 16S ribosomal RNA". It matches the Rfam family "Bacterial large subunit ribosomal RNA", at positions 1830 to 2597 of the family's 2925-position model. The record is from RNAcentral. Lineage: Eukaryota; Metazoa; Annelida; Polychaeta; Phyllodocida; Polynoidae.
UGCUUCUAGUAACCCUAUUAGAAGUUCAUCCUGCCCAGUGAUUCAUUUUCAACGGCCGCGGUAUCCUGACCGUGCAAAGGUAGCAUAAUCAUUUGCCUUUUAAUUGAAGGCUAGUAUGAAUGGACAAACGAAACUAAAACUGUCUCAUAUCUACCCCUAAAAAUUAGCCUUCAGGUGAAGAUACCUGAAUUUUCCUAAAAGACAAGAAGACCCCGUAGAGUUUUAGACCUCCUUUUAAUCUAUAAAUAUUUUGGUCUUUGGUUGGGGCGACCAAGGAUUAAUUAAAACAUCCUUUUACACCUAGAGUUAUUCCUCUUAUUUAAAGACCCUAUUUUAUUGAUCUUCAAAAACAACUACCUCGGGGAUAACAGGCUUAUCUUCCUAGAGAGUUCACAUUGACAGGAAGGUUUGGCACCUCGAUGUUGGCUUAGAGUACCCAGGAAAUGCAGCCGUUUCCUUGUGUUAGUUUGUUCAACUAUUAAAACUCU